This 465-nucleotide ribosomal RNA is filed under the name uncultured bacterium. Its description in RNAcentral is "partial 16S ribosomal RNA". It matches the Rfam family "Bacterial small subunit ribosomal RNA", at positions 338 to 795 of the family's 1533-position model. The record is from RNAcentral.
CCUACGGGUGGCAGCAGUAGGGAAUUUUCGUCAAUGGGCGCAAGCCUGAACGAGCGAUGCCGCGUGAGUGAAGAAGCCCUUCGGGUCGUAAAGCUCUGUCGCGGGGGAAAAAAGGCAGCAUCAGGAAAUGGGUGCUGACUGAUGGUGCCCGGCCAGACAGUCACGGUUAACUACGUGCCAGCAGCCGCGGUAAUACGUAGGUGGCGAGCGUUAUCCGGAAUGAUUGGGCGUAAAGGGUGCGCAGGCGGGCCUGCACGUCCGGAGUGCAACGCAUGGGCUCAACUCAUGCAUGGCUUUGGAAACUGGGGGACUGGAGAGCAGGAGAGGGAGGUGGAACGCCAGGUGUAGCGGUAAAAGGCGUAGAUAUAUGGAAGAACACCAGUGGCGAAGGCGGCCGCCUGGCCUGUUGCUGACGCUGAGGCACGAAAGCGUGGGGAGCAAAUAGGAUUAGAUACCCGAGUAGUC